GAUGAACGCUGGCGGCGUGCCUAAUACAUGCAAGUCGAGCGAACGGACGAGAAGCUUGCUUCUCUGAUGUUAGCGGCGGACGGGUGAGUAACACGUGGAUAACCUACCUAUAAGACUGGGAUAACUUCGGGAAACCGGAGCUAAUACCGGAUAAUAUUAUGAACCGCAUGGUUCAAAAGUGAAAGACGGUCUUGCUGUCACUUAUAGAUGGAUCCGCGCUGCAUUAGCUAGUUGGUAAGGUAACGGCUUACCAAGGCAACGAUGCAUAGCCGACCUGAGAGGGUGAUCGGCCACACUGGAACUGAGACACGGUCCAGACUCCUACGGGAGGCAGCAGUGGGGAAUCUUCCGCAAAGGGCGAAAGCCUGACGGAGCAACGCCGCGUGAGUGAUGAAGGUCUUCGGAUCGUAAAACUCUGUUAUUAGGGAAGAACAUAUGUGUAAGUAACUGUGCACAUCUUGACGGUACCUAAUCAGAAAGCCACGGCUAACUACGUG
This 497-nucleotide ribosomal RNA is filed under the name uncultured bacterium. RNAcentral describes it as "partial 16S ribosomal RNA". It matches the Rfam family "Bacterial small subunit ribosomal RNA", at positions 28 to 507 of the family's 1533-position model. The record is from RNAcentral.